GUGCUCGCUUCAGCAGCACAUAGACUAAAAUUGGAAUGAUACAGAGAAGAUUCGCAUGACCCUGUGCAAGGAUGACACGCAAAUUUAUGAUGCGCUCCAUAUUUGA
Pipistrellus kuhlii (Kuhl's pipistrelle) is the source of this 106-nucleotide small nuclear RNA. NCBI's taxonomy places the organism in Eukaryota, Metazoa, Chordata, Mammalia, Chiroptera, Vespertilionidae. The record is from RefSeq and is a predicted model, not a curated record.